Molecule: ribosomal RNA, 253 nt
Filed under: uncultured bacterium
Lineage: Bacteria
Description: partial 16S ribosomal RNA
Rfam family: Bacterial small subunit ribosomal RNA
Source: RNAcentral
UACGGAGGGUGCAAGCGUUAUCCGGAUUCACUGGGUUUAAAGGGUGCGUAGGUGGGUUGGUAAGUCAGUGGUGAAAUCUCCAGGCUUAACUUGGAAACUGCCAUUGAUACUAUCAAUCUUGAAUACCGUGGAGGUCAGCGGAAUAUGUCAUGUAGCGGUGAAAUGCUUAGAUAUGACAUAGAACACCAAUUGCGAAGGCAGCUGGCUACACGAAUAUUGACACUGAUACACGAAAGCGUGGGGAUCAAACAGG